Molecule: ribosomal RNA, 590 nt
Filed under: uncultured bacterium
Lineage: Bacteria
Description: bacterial SSU rRNA
Rfam family: Bacterial small subunit ribosomal RNA (bases 1-520)
Source: RNAcentral
CCUACGGGAGGCAGCAGUGGGGAAUCUUGCGCAAUGGGCGAAAGCCUGACGCAGCCAUGCCGCGUGAAUGAUGAAGGUCUUAGGAUUGUAAAAUUCUUUCAGUAGGGACGAUAAUGACGGUACCUACAGAAGAAGCCCCGGCUAACUUCGUGCCAGCAGCCGCGGUAAUACGAAGGGGGCUAGCGUUGCUCGGAAUUACUGGGCGUAAAGGGAGCGUAGGCGGACAUUUAAGUCAGGGGUGAAAUCCCGGGGUCUCAACCUCGGAAUUGCCUUUGAUACUGGGUGUCUUGAGUGUGAGAGAGGUAUGUGGAACUCCGAGUGUAGAGGUGAAAUUCGUAGAUAUUCGGAAGAACACCAGUGGCGAAGGCGACAUACUGGCUCAUUACUGACGCUGAGGCUCGAAAGCGUGGGGAGCAAACAGGAUUAGAUACCCUGGUAGUCCACGCCGUAAACGAUGAUGUNUAGUUGUCGGUAGUGCAUGCAUUCGGUUGUACGCGAGCUACGCAUAAGACACUCCGCCGGGACGGUACGGUCGCAGAUAAACUACGAAGAAGUAGAGNGNGAGAGNGCGACGCGACGACGAGGGAGAG